Molecule: ribosomal RNA, 392 nt
Filed under: uncultured bacterium
Lineage: Bacteria
Description: bacterial SSU rRNA
Rfam family: Bacterial small subunit ribosomal RNA
Source: RNAcentral
AUUGAACGCUGGCGGCAUGCCUUACACAUGCAAGUCGAACGGCAGCAUGGAAGAGCUUGCUCUUCUGAUGGCGAGUGGCGAACGGGUGAGUAAAGCAUCGGAACGUACCGUGUAGUGGGGAAUAACGUAGCGAAAGUUACGCUAAUACCGCAUACGCACUGAGGUGGAAAGCAGGGGAUCGAAAGACCUCGCGCGAUUAGAGCGGCCGAUGCCUGAUUAGCUUGUUGGUGGGGUAAAAAGCCCACCAAAGGCGACGAUCAGUAGCUGGUCUGAGAGGACGAUCAGCCACACUGGGACUGAGACACGGCCCAGACUCCUACGGGAGGCAGCAGUGGGGAAUUUUGGACAAUGGGGGAAACCCUGAUCCAGCAAUGCCGCGUGAGUGAAGAAGG